UGAGCAUGCGCAUAUAUUUAAAACUAACUGCGCAUGCGCAGAAUACGGAAGUAGCUGUGUUUGGACACUUUGUAUUAGCAGUGAGGAAAUUCGGAAACACAAAAAGCAAAUGCAAGUUCAGAUACCACUGAAAGUGAACAUCAGUGGAACUUUGAUGAUCUAGGCCACUCUAUUGUUGCAGCAACACCAGCAGGCGUCGGACAUUCAUAAAGUUGAAAGAACAAACCUAUGACUUGAACACACAAUUUGUGAUCUGAAUAUAGUUCACAAAUUUAAGGAAAGCAACUAUUAAAGACAUCCAGAUCAACGGUAUACAUGAAGUAUGAGUUAAAGACUUUUCAGAAAAACAAGCACAAUCCCGAUUCAUUCUUGCCAUUGCCUUCUCCAGACGGCGACAUUCAGGACCUGACUUACUUUUCAGAAAAAGAAGAUGAAUCGAUUUUUGAAAGUUGAUCUAAAAAAGAUAACAUUUACAUGGGUCGUGGAUUUGAAUUACAUUUUCUUGAUGGGCAACUAGUUUCAAGUAUUUGGAUGUCUAUUCUCAAGUUGCUGCAAACCUUAAAUUAACUUCUUGAUUAUUAGUUAAAUGUGAGACAGUGUCUUACUUGAAGUAAUCAAUGUUUGAAUUGAGCUAUGUAAUCUCUGAUUACUUAUGUUUAUGAGUAGUGUUCAGCUUUAAGACAAAAGGAUCUUUUAUGAACAUUGCAUUCGGCAUGGCGAAUUUCUAUACAUUAACAGUCAUAGUUUUCUUCUUUUUUAAUUAGCGAUCUCAUUUUAAAUGUGAGAAAUAAUUAUUAA
Molecule: long non-coding RNA, 798 nt
Organism: Saccostrea cuccullata (small rock oyster)
Lineage: Eukaryota; Metazoa; Mollusca; Bivalvia; Ostreida; Ostreidae
Exons: 3
Source: RefSeq, a predicted model, not a curated record